CCCUAUGGGGUGUAGCAGGCGUUUGCAUUGUAUCAGUCGUUAUAUCGCUAUGGAUCGUUUUCUGUGACACUUCCUCACUUUCAAAAUGCCCCAAAGCUCUAUGAGAAAAUGGUAGAGUCUGCGUCUUUUUCCCUCUAUCCGUUAAAGAUACCUGUGAGCAGUGAAAGCGCGCUUCGAUAUCUUCUUGAGACAGACGACCAAUAUCUGAUUGAGUCUGUGUUGAUUGGUAUGAAAACAAGAAACACAGUGUGUGUUUCAUCACAGAUCGGAUGCCGAAUGGGCUGCCGUUUUUGUGCAACAGGACGGAUGGGUUUUCGCCGAAAUCUUUUGGCUCAUGAGAUUGUGCAGCAGUUCUUUACUGCUCGUUUUGUGAUCGGGAAAAAAGUACAAAACGUCGUCUUUAUGGGAAUGGGAGAGC
RNAcentral lists this ribosomal RNA (418 nucleotides) under uncultured prokaryote. RNAcentral's name for it is "partial 16S ribosomal RNA". The record is from RNAcentral.